RNAcentral lists this long non-coding RNA (1458 nucleotides) under Oncorhynchus mykiss (rainbow trout). Its description in RNAcentral is "lncRNA (ENSOMYG00000072804.1)". The record is from RNAcentral. Lineage: Eukaryota; Metazoa; Chordata; Actinopteri; Salmoniformes; Salmonidae.
AUGAUCAACCCUGAUAUCAGGUACAUUAUAAACAAAACAGAGGCAAUUCUAGCAGAAAUAUCUUUUCAUUCACUCUUUCACACGUCUGUGAGGUUAUUGGGAUGCCGUCUGGUGGAUGGGUCAUCAUGUUUGAGGGUGGAUGGGUCAUCAUGUUUGAGGGUGGAUGGGUACACAUCAUGUUUGAGGGUGGAUGGGUACACAUCAUGUUUGAGGGUGGAUGGGUACACAUCAUGUUUGAGGGUGGAUGGGUACACAUCAUGUUUGAGGGUGGAUGGGUCAUCAUGUUUGAGGGUGGAUGGGUACACAUCAUGUUUGAGGGUGGAUGGGUACACAUCAUGUUUGAGGGUGGAUGGGUCAUCAUGUUUGAGGGUGGAUGGGUCAUCAUGUUUGAGGGUGGAUGGGUCAUCAUGUUUGAGGGUGGAUGGGUCAUCAUGUUUGAGGGUGGAUGGGUCAUCAUGUUUGAGGGUGGAUGGGUCAUCAUGUUUGAGGGUGGAUGGGUACACGUCAUGUUUGAGGGUGGAUGGGUCAUCAUGUUUGAGGGUGGAUGGGUCAUCAUGUUUGAGGGUGGAUGGGUCAUCAUGUUUGAGGGUGGAUGGGUCAUCAUGUUUGAGGGUGGAUGGGUACACAUCAUGUUUGAGGGUGGAUGGGUACACGUCAUGUUUGAGGGUGGAUGGGUACACGUCAUGUUUGAGGGUGGAUGGGUACACGUCAUGUUUGAGGGUGGAUGGGUACACGUCAUGUUUGAGGGUGGAUGGGUACACGUCAUGUUUGAGGGUGGAUGGCUCAUCAUGUUUGAGGGUGGAUGUGUACACAUCAUGUUUGAGGGUGGAUGGGUCAUCAUGUUUGAGGGUGGAUGGGUCAUCAUGUUUGAGGGUGGAUGGGUACACAUCAUGUUUGAGGGUGGAUGGGUACAUGUCAUGUUUGAGGGUGGAUGGGUACACGUCAUGUUUGAGGGUGGAUUGGUCAUCAUGUUUGAGGGUGGAUGGGUCAUCAUGUUUGAGGGUGGAUGGGUACAUGUCAUGUUUGAGGGUGGAUGGGUCAUCAUGUUUGAGGGUGGAUGGGUCAUCAUGUUUGAAGGUGGAUGGGUACAUGUCAUGUUUGAGGGUGGAUGGGUACACAUCAUGUUUGAGGGUGGAUGGGUACACGUCAUGUUUGAGGGUGGAUGGAUCAUCAUGCUUGAGGGUGGAUGGGUACACGUCAUGUUUGAGGGUGGAUGGGUACACGUCAUGUUUGAGGGUGGAUGGGUACACGUCAUGUUUGAGGGUGGAUGGGUACACGUCAUGUUUGAGGGUGGAUGGGUCAUCAUGUUUGAGGGUGGAUGGGUACACAUCAUGUUUGAGGGUGGAUGGGUACACGUCAUGUUUGAGGGUGGAUGAGUACACGUCAUGUUUGAGGGUGGAUGGGUACACAUCAUGUUUGAGGGUGGAUGGGUACACGUUACCAGAGUCUAUCUGGUAG